AUUGAACUCUGGCGGCAGGCCUAACACAUGCAAGUCGAGCGGUAGAGAGAAGCUUGCUUCUCUUGAGAGCGGCGGACGGGUGAGUAAUGCCUAGGAAUCUGCCUGGUAGUGGGGGAUAACGUUCGGAAACGGACGCUAAUACCGCAUACGUCCUACGGGAGAAAGCAGGGGACCUUCGGGCCUUGCGCUAUCAGAUGAGCCUAGGUCGGAUUAGCUAGUUGGUGAGGUAAUGGCUCACCAAGGCGACGAUCCGUAACUGGUCUGAGAGGAUGAUCAGUCACACUGGAACUGAGACACGGUCCAGACUCCUACGGGAGGCAGCAGUGGGGAAUAUUGGACAAUGGGCGAAAGCCUGAUCCAGCCAUGCCGCGUGUGUGAAGAAGGUCUUCGGAUUGUAAAGCACUUUAAGUUGGGAGGAAGGGCAGUAAAUUAAUACUUUGCUGUUUUGACGUUACCGACAGAAUAAGCACCGGCUAACUCUGUGCCAGCAGCCGCGGUAAUACAGAGGGUGCAAGCGUUAAUCGGAAUUACUGGGCGUAAAGCGCGCGUAGGUGGUUUGUUAAGUUGGAUGUGAAAUCCCCGGGCUCAACCUGGGAACUGCAUUCAAAACUGACUGACUAGAGUAUGGUAGAGGGUGGUGGAAUUUCCUGUGUAGCGGUGAAAUGCGUAGAUAUAGGAAGGAACACCAGUGGCGAAGGCGACCACCUGGACUAAUACUGACACUGAGGUGCGAAAGCGUGGGGAGCAAACAGGAUUAGAUACCCUGGUAGUCCACGCCGUAAACGAUGUCAACUAGCCGUUGGAAGCCUUGUGUUUUUAGUGGCGCAGCUACCGCAUUAUGUCGCCCCCCUGGGGAGUACGGCCGCAAGUUUAAAACUCAAAUGAAUUGGCGGGGGCCCGCACACGCGGUGGCGUAUGUGGUUUAAUUAGAAGCAGCGCGAAGACCCUUAACAGGCCUUGACAUCCAAUGAACUUUCUAGAGAUAGAUUGGCCCUUUGGGGAACAUUGACACAGGUGCCGCAGGGCUGUCGUCAGCUCGUGUCGUGAGAUGUUGGGUUAAGUCCCGUAACGAGCGCAACCCUUCUCCUUAGUUCCCAGCAUGUAAUGGUGGGCACUCUAAGGAGACUGCCGGUGACAAACCGGAGGAAGGGGGGAGGACGUCAAGUCAUCAUGGCCCUUACGGCCUGGGCUACCCACGUGUUACAAUGGUCGGUACAGAGGGUUGCCAAGCCGCGAGGUGGAGCUAAUCCCACAAAACCGAUCGUAGUCCGGAUCGCAGUCUGCAACUCGACUGCGUGAAGUCGGAAUCGCUAGUAAUCGCGAAUCAGAAUGUCGCGGUGAAUACGUUCCCGGGCCU
RNAcentral lists this ribosomal RNA (1357 nucleotides) under uncultured bacterium. RNAcentral describes it as "bacterial SSU rRNA". It matches the Rfam family "Bacterial small subunit ribosomal RNA", at positions 28 to 1381 of the family's 1533-position model. The record is from RNAcentral.